GGUGGCUCAGUGGUAGAGCGCUUGCCUUGCAUGCCUUAGGCCCUGGGUUCGAUUCCCCAGCACCA
This is a non-coding RNA of Dipodomys ordii (Ord's kangaroo rat), 65 nucleotides long. NCBI's taxonomy places the organism in Eukaryota, Metazoa, Chordata, Mammalia, Rodentia, Heteromyidae. The record is from Rfam.